RNAcentral lists this transfer RNA (76 nucleotides) under Streptomyces sp. SID335. RNAcentral's name for it is "tRNA-OTHER". RNAcentral also lists the same sequence under 4 other names. The record is from RNAcentral. Lineage: Bacteria; Bacillati; Actinomycetota; Actinomycetes; Kitasatosporales; Streptomycetaceae.
AGAUCGAAAUGGUGCUCAUCCUCUAACAUCCUCCCUUACAAGGAGGAUGUCGGCGGUUCGAAACCGUCCGCGCCCA